Molecule: ribosomal RNA, 483 nt
Filed under: uncultured bacterium
Lineage: Bacteria
Description: bacterial SSU rRNA
Rfam family: Bacterial small subunit ribosomal RNA
Source: RNAcentral
UCGAACGGGAUAUUUUUGUAGCAAUACCGAAAUAUUCAGUGGCGAACGGGUGCGUAACACGUGGGUAACAUGCCGGGAAGAGGAGAAUAGCCCAGGGAAACUUGGAUUAAUGCUCCAUGUGGUCGCAAGACUAAAGGCGGGGUAACCUGUCGCUUCCUGAUUGGCCCGCGGCCUAUCAGCUAGUUGGUGAGGUAACGGCUCACCAAGGCGACGACGGGUAGCUGGUCUGAGAGGAUGACCAGCCACACUGGAACUGAGACACGGUCCAGACACCUACGGGUGGCAGCAGUCGAGAAUCUUUCACAAUGGGGGCAACCCUGAUGGAGCGACGCCGCGUGGAGGAUAAGGUCUUCGGAUUGUAAACUCCUGUCAUGCGAGAGUAAGGCCCCGCGUUAACUGCGUGUGGGAUUGACAGUACCGCAAGAGGAAGAGACGGCUAACUCUGUGCCAGCAGCCGCGGUAAUACAGAGGUCUCAAGCGUUG